AUUUAUGGUCAAGCUACUAAGGGCAUACGGUGGAUGCCUUGGCGCACGAGGGCGAUGAAGGACGCGGUCAGCUGCGAAAAGCCUCGGUGAGCCGCAAGCAGGCUUCGACCCGAGGAUCUCCUAAUGGGGCAACCCGACCAGGGCAAACCCUGGUCAUCCACUUCCGAAUGAAAUAGGAAGUGAGAGGCGAACGGGGGGAAGUGAACCAUCUCAGUACCCCCAGGAAAAAAAAGCAACUGCGAUUCCCCGAGUAGCGGCGAGCGAAAAGGGAACAGCCUAAACCGGACGUACGUGAUAGCUCGUGAGCGUUGUACGUCUGGGGUCGCGGGAGCCGACGUGGUUCCGUCACGACGGGGCCGGAGAGUUACAAACCAACACGCUAGCCGAACGAUCUGGAAAGUUCGACCACAGAAGGUAACAGUCCUGUAGGCGAAAGCGGAGUUGGCUCUCCAGUCGGUUUCCCAAGUACCACGGGACACGAGAAAUCCUGUGGGAAUCCGGGAGGACCAUCUUCCAAGGCUCAAUACCAACGUGCGACCGAUAGUGAACCAGUACCGUGAGGGAAAGGUGAAAAGCACCCCUUUGA
Molecule: ribosomal RNA, 586 nt
Filed under: Acidobacteriota bacterium
Lineage: Bacteria; Pseudomonadati; Acidobacteriota
Description: bacterial LSU rRNA
Rfam family: Bacterial large subunit ribosomal RNA
Source: RNAcentral